AACGCACCUUGCGCCUUUUGGUAUUCCAAAAGGCACACCUGUUUGAGUGUCAUGAAACCCUCUCACAAAAGAAUUUUUAUUAAUUCUUUUAGUGGAUGUUGAGUGUUGCCGUCAUUGGCUCACUUUAAAUUAAUGUGUCUAUUUAAUUAAAUUGGAUUGACUUGGUGUAAUAUUUUUAAAAAACAUCAAGGAAAGUAGCAAUACUGCCAAAUUGAUUAAAGAAGGCUUCUAAAAAACACACAAUUAUUUUUUAAGACCUCAAAUCAGGUGGGACUACCCGCUGAACUUAA
RNAcentral lists this unclassified non-coding RNA (290 nucleotides) under uncultured Pucciniales. RNAcentral describes it as "sequence contains ITS2". The stretch from base 1 to 52 matches the Rfam family "5.8S ribosomal RNA", at positions 103 to 154 of the family's 154-position model. Lineage: Eukaryota; Fungi; Basidiomycota; Pucciniomycetes; Pucciniales. The record is from RNAcentral.